RNAcentral lists this ribosomal RNA (253 nucleotides) under uncultured bacterium. Its description in RNAcentral is "partial 16S ribosomal RNA". It matches the Rfam family "Bacterial small subunit ribosomal RNA", at positions 524 to 776 of the family's 1533-position model. The record is from RNAcentral.
UACGUAGGGACCAAGCGUUGUCCGGAAUCAUUGGGCGUAAAGAGCGUGUAGGCGGCUUGUUAAGUCUUGCGUGAAAUCUCGGGGCUCAACCCCGAGCGGUCGUGAGAAACUGGCAGGCUAGAGUGCGGGAGAGGAGAGUGGAAUUCCUGGUGUAGCGGUGAAAUGCGCAGAUAUCAGGAAGAACACCGGUGGCGAAGGCGGCUCUCUGGGCCUUACCUGACGCUGAGGAGCGAGAGCGUGGGUAGCGAACAGG